GGGUUUUAACACUUUUUCCGUGUUUGUAGUUCUAAUCGAAUCUUCGGCCAGGUGUGAUGGGUUGUGGGUAAUAUUAGCUGUUAGAUAGAACAUCUGGGUACCUUUGGGAUACUAGGUAGCCUACAAUUUUGAAUACUAUCUAGGAUGGAUGGUAUGUAAAUUGGGACUUAGCAAAUGUAGCUCACAAUGUUACACUUGUGUGUCUGUGUAUGCUACAUUUGUACAUUAGUAUUUCAGAAAAA
Rhinichthys klamathensis goyatoka is the source of this 242-nucleotide long non-coding RNA. RefSeq lists it as uncharacterized. The transcript has 2 exons. NCBI's taxonomy places the organism in Eukaryota, Metazoa, Chordata, Actinopteri, Cypriniformes, Leuciscidae. The record is from RefSeq and is a predicted model, not a curated record.